Molecule: ribosomal RNA, 464 nt
Filed under: uncultured Klebsiella sp.
Lineage: Bacteria; Pseudomonadati; Pseudomonadota; Gammaproteobacteria; Enterobacterales; Enterobacteriaceae
Description: bacterial SSU rRNA
Rfam family: Bacterial small subunit ribosomal RNA
Source: RNAcentral
CCUACGGGAGGCAGCAGUGGGGAAUAUUGCACAAUGGGCGCAAGCCUGAUGCAGCCAUGUCGCGUGUGUGAAGAAGGCCUUCGGGUUGUAAAGCACUUUCAGCGGGGAGGAAGGCGGUGAGGUUAAUAACCUCAUCGAUUGACGUUACCCGCAGAAGAAGCACCGGCUAACUCCGUGCCAGCAGCCGCGGUAAUACGGAGGGUGCAAGCGUUAAUCGGAAUUACUGGGCGUAAAGCGCACGCAGGCGGUCUGUCAAGUCGGAUGUGAAAUCCCCGGGCUCAACCUGGGAAUUGCAUUCGAAACUGGCAGGCUAGAGUCUUGUAGAGGGGGGUAGAAUUCCAGGUGUAGCGGUGAAAUGCGUAGAGAUCUGGAGGAAUACCGGUGGCGAAGGCGGCCCCCUGGACAAAGACUGACGCUCAGGUGCGAAAGCGUGGGGAGCAAACAGGAUUAGAACCCCGGUAGUC